This 691-nucleotide unclassified non-coding RNA is filed under the name Nargus algiricus. RNAcentral's name for it is "partial contains 16S ribosomal RNA (rrnL) and tRNA-Leu (trnL)". The stretch from base 384 to 542 matches the Rfam family "Bacterial large subunit ribosomal RNA", at positions 2473 to 2632 of the family's 2925-position model. Lineage: Eukaryota; Metazoa; Arthropoda; Insecta; Coleoptera; Leiodidae. The record is from RNAcentral.
GUCUUAUUGAUUAUAAUUUUAAGUCUAAUCUGCCCAAUGAAAUUUUAAAUGGCUGCAGUAUUUUAACUGUACAAAGGUAGCAUAAUAAUUAGUCUCUUAAUUAGGGACUAGAAUGAAUGAUUGAACGAGAUAAUAACUGUCUCUAUUUAAUUUUUAGAAUUUUAUUUUUAAGUUAAAAAGCUUAAAUAAUUUUAAAAGACGAGAAGACCCUAUAGAGUUUAAUAUUUUUUAUUAAUUUAUUUUUUAGAUUAUUUAUUAAUAAAUUUUUUAAAAAAUAUUUAAUUGGGGUGAUUAAAAAAUUAAAUUAACUUUUUUUAUUUAUUAACAUAAAUUAAUGAUUAAUUGAUCCAAUUUUAUUGAUUAUAAGAUUAAAUUACCUUAGGGAUAACAGCGUAAUUUUUUUAGAGAGUUCAUAUCGAAAAAAAAGAUUGCGACCUCGAUGUUGGAUUAAAAUUAAUUUUUGGCGUAGAAGUUAAAAAAUUAGGUCUGUUCGACCUUUAAAAUUUUACAUGAUCUGAGUUUAAAUCGGCGUGAGCCAGGUUGGUUUCUAUCUUUAAAAAAUUAAAAUAUUUUAGUACGAAAGGACCAAAUAUUUAUAAGAAUUAUUUAUUUAUGAGUUAUAUUAAUUGUUACUUUGGCAGAAUAGUGCUUUAAAUUUAGAAUUUAAAUAUGUAUUUUAUACAAGUAAUAU